GCUGGGCUCGGUGGCGCAUGUCUGUAGUUCCAGCUACUGGGGAGGCUGAGGUGGGACGAUCAGUUGAGCCCAGGAGUUCUGGGCUGUAGUGAGCUAUGCCGAUCGGGUGUCCACGCUAAGUUCAGCAUCAAUAUGGUGACCUCCUGGGAGUAGGGGACCACCAGAUUGCCUAAGGAGGGGUGAACCAGCCCAGGUUGGAAAUGGAGCAAGUCAAAACUCCCGUGCUGAUCAGUAGUGGGAUCGCGCCUGUGAAUAGCCACUGCACUCCAUCCUGGGCAACAUAGUGAGAUCCCAUCUCA
This 299-nucleotide signal recognition particle RNA is filed under the name Saimiri boliviensis boliviensis (Bolivian squirrel monkey). RNAcentral's name for it is "Metazoan signal recognition particle RNA (ENSSBOG00000003215.1)". It matches the Rfam family "Metazoan signal recognition particle RNA". Rfam says of the family: The signal recognition particle (SRP) is a universally conserved ribonucleoprotein. It is involved in the co-translational targeting of proteins to membranes. The eukaryotic SRP consists of a 300-nucleotide 7S RNA and six proteins: SRPs 72, 68, 54, 19, 14, and 9. Lineage: Eukaryota; Metazoa; Chordata; Mammalia; Primates; Cebidae. The record is from RNAcentral.